GAUGAACGCUGGCGGCGUGCCUAAUACAUGCAAGUCGAGCGAACAGACGAGGAGCUUGCUCCGCUGACGUUAGCGGCGGACGGGUGAGUAACACGUGUAUAACCUCCCUAUAAGACUGAGAUAACUUCGGGAAACCGUAGCUAAUACCGGAUAAUAUAUUGAACCGCAUGGUGCAAUAGUGAAAGACGGUUUUGCUGUCACUUAUAGAUGGAUCCGCACCGCAUUAGCUAGUUGGUAAGGUAACGACUUACCAAGGCAACGAUGCGUAGCCGACCUGAGAGGCUGAUCGGCGACACUGGAACUGAGACACGGUCCAGACUCCUACGGGAGGCAGCAGUAGGGAAUCUGCCGCAAUGGGCGAAAGUUUGACGGAGCAACGCCGAGUGAGUGAUGAAGGUCUUCGGAUCGUAAAACUCUGUUAUUAGGGAAGAACAAAUGUGUAAGUAACUGUGCACGUCUUGACGGUACCUAAUCAGAAAGCCACGGCUAACUACGUG
Molecule: ribosomal RNA, 497 nt
Filed under: uncultured bacterium
Lineage: Bacteria
Description: partial 16S ribosomal RNA
Rfam family: Bacterial small subunit ribosomal RNA
Source: RNAcentral